GGACUCGCUCAGUUUUCUUUAGUGGCUUAUUUUGGGAGGAUUUUUAGCAGCAAAAAAUGGAUUGUGUUGCUGUAGGGGAAAGAGCCCAGUGUACCCUGUUUCUUUUCUGUGACUGCUAUAUACUUAGUUUCUGCUUCUGCUCUCCUCCUUUUCUUCCACUGCCUUGUUCUCUGGAUGCAGUGCUUCAUCAGAGCUGCCGCACCCAGCCCCUGCAACUCAUGCUGAGAGCUUUCUAUCAAGUACCCACCUGUGCUCAGAGUCUUGGCCUUUCAUGUUGCACUUUCUCUUUCAAGAGAUGAUUUUAUUGUUGCUUUUUCUAAGUCCUCUUUUCCUUUCUGCUCCUUUCCAGAGGCUCUUAAACUUCCCCUAACCUGCUCUCCUGGCUCACAGGCUUGCCAACAGCAGGAGAGAAGUGAGAACUGUCAGAUUUUUCCUCUCUACUCACUGGUGAUUUGAAAGUUGUGGCGUUCGCUGUCUCCUAGUUACACGGAAGGCAUACAUCAGCUAACAUUUCAUUUACUCUUA
Molecule: long non-coding RNA, 525 nt
Filed under: Bos taurus (domestic cattle)
Lineage: Eukaryota; Metazoa; Chordata; Mammalia; Artiodactyla; Bovidae
Description: long non-coding RNA NONBTAT001166
Source: RNAcentral